GCCAGGUGUGAUGGCGCACACCUGUGAUCUCAGCUACCUGGGAGGCUGAGGCAGGAGGAUUGCAAAUUCAGGGCCAGCAAGUCGGGACAACUUAGCAAGAGGCUGUCUCAA
RNAcentral lists this small RNA (111 nucleotides) under Marmota monax (woodchuck). The record is from RNAcentral. Lineage: Eukaryota; Metazoa; Chordata; Mammalia; Rodentia; Sciuridae.